This 486-nucleotide ribosomal RNA is filed under the name uncultured bacterium. RNAcentral describes it as "partial 16S ribosomal RNA". It matches the Rfam family "Bacterial small subunit ribosomal RNA", at positions 29 to 507 of the family's 1533-position model. The record is from RNAcentral.
AUUGAACGCUGGCGGCAUGCCUUACACAUGCAAGUCGAACGGCAGCACGGGUGCUUGCACCUGGUGGCGAGUGGCGCACGGGUGAGUAAUACAUCGGGACAUGUCCUGUAGUGGGGGAUAGCCCGGCGAAAGCCGGAUUAAUACCGCAUACGAUCUACGGAUGACAGCGGGGGACCUUCGGGCCUCGCGCAUUAGGGUUGGCAGAUGGCUGAUUAGCUAGUGGGAGGGGUAAAGGCCUACCAAGGCGACGCUCAGUAGCUGGUCUGAGAGGACGACCAGCAAAACGGGGACGGAGACACGGCCCAGACUCCUACGGGAGGCAGCAGUGGGGAAUUUUGGACAAGGGGCGAAAGCCGGAUCCAGCAAGGCCGCGUGUGGGAAGAAGGCCUUCGGGUUGUAAAGCACUUUUGUCCGGAAAGAAAUCCUUGGCCCUAAUACGGUCGGGGGAUGACGGUACCGGAAGAAUAAGCACCGGCUAACUACGUG